UCCAUUGCAGUUUGUCUUCUUUUUUGGAGAACUCUCGAGCAAGAAAAUUGUCUUUUACCAACGAGGAAUUAUUAGAGCAAUUACGAGUGCAAGAUAAAAAUCGAGUGAGGUGACAUCUGAGAUGAUACCUCAUAUCAGUUGCAAAGUAUCGUCAAAGUCAUAGCGGAUCCAGGCAAGUACAUUUCUACCAAUGAUAUGUAAAAAAUGAACAUCGCUGACAUCAACGAUAAAUAAUCAAUGACUUCGCUGAAAAUCUAAGAAAAUUUUUCGAAAUACGCUUGAACAUUGGUGAUGGCCCCAGUGAUAUAAUGAUGAGCAUGCUAUUGCCGAUUCUCAAUUCAAAUGCGACAAUAGGCAGCCUAUAUUGUCACUGUAUGGAUGUUGCAAAUGAAAACGUGUGCCGAUCUAUUUCAAAAUUUUAAAACAGAACAUCUGUUUCGCAAAAAAAUGCAAAUUACAUCAGUUUUUAUAUCUACAUUAUGCUUGAAUGUACAUUUUAUAAUUUUGUUUAUUACAAUUCUUUAUUGCUUUUUACAUAGUGCAAUCGGGAAUAUGUGUCGCCUUUUCAGUCGUCGCUCUGCUAGAGCUAGAGGAGUUGGAAGAGUUACUCGAGGUGUUAGAAUUUGAUUUAUAAUACAAUUUUGUAUAACACUCUUAGCGCUAAUUAUAUUUAUUACUUAUGGUAGUUUUUUUUCUAUGUAUUGCAUAGUGUAUGCUUUCUUUAUAUUUUGUGUUUUAUGGUCAGCGUAUUUAUAGUUUAUGGUGUGCGCUAUCUGUUUUUAUCCUUAUUCUAAAUGUAUCUAGAAAUAUAUGCAGUCGCAUAAUUUG
Long non-coding RNA from Ooceraea biroi (clonal raider ant), 828 nucleotides. RefSeq lists it as uncharacterized. The record is from RefSeq and is a predicted model, not a curated record. NCBI's taxonomy places the organism in Eukaryota, Metazoa, Arthropoda, Insecta, Hymenoptera, Formicidae.